GCCCUACGGGACGCAGCAGUGAGGAAUAUUGGUCAAUGGGCGAGAGCCUGAACCAGCCAAGUCGCGUGAGGGAAGACGGUCCUAUGGAUUGUAAACCUCUUUUGUCGGGGAGCAAAAAGGCCUCGUGAGGCCACAAGUGAGAGUACCCGAAGAAAAAGCAUCGGCUAACUCCGUGCCAGCAGCCGCGGUAAUACGGAGGAUGCGAGCGUUAUUCGGAUUUAUUGGGUUUAAAGGGUGCGUAGGCGGACUGGAAAGUCAGCGGUAAAAUCGAGAGGCUCAACCUCUUCGAGCCGUUGAAACUGGUU
This 305-nucleotide ribosomal RNA is filed under the name uncultured bacterium. RNAcentral's name for it is "bacterial SSU rRNA". It matches the Rfam family "Bacterial small subunit ribosomal RNA", at positions 335 to 638 of the family's 1533-position model. The record is from RNAcentral.